UCGGGAAUUUUGGGCAAUGGGCGAAAGCCUGACCCAGCAACGCCGCGUGAGGGAUGAAGUAUUUCGGUAUGUAAACCUCGAAAGAAUGGGAAGAAUAAAUGACGGUACCAUUUAUAAGCUCCGGCUAACUACGUGCCAGCAGCCGCGGUAAUACGUAGGGAGCAAGCGUUGUUCGGAUUUACUGGGCGUAAAGGGCGCGUAGGCGGCGCGGUAAGUCACUUGUGAAAUCUCUGAGCUUAACUCAGAACGGCCAAGUGAUACUGCUGUGCUAGAGUGCGGAAGAGGCAACCGGAAUUCUUGGUGUAGCGGUGAAAUGCGUAGAUAUCAAGAGGAACACCUGAAGCGAAGGCGGGUUGCUGGGCCGACACUGACGCUGAUGCGCGAAAGCCAGGGGAGCAAACG
This 402-nucleotide ribosomal RNA is filed under the name uncultured bacterium. Its description in RNAcentral is "bacterial SSU rRNA". It matches the Rfam family "Bacterial small subunit ribosomal RNA", at positions 355 to 774 of the family's 1533-position model. The record is from RNAcentral.